Molecule: ribosomal RNA, 480 nt
Filed under: uncultured bacterium
Lineage: Bacteria
Description: bacterial SSU rRNA
Rfam family: Bacterial small subunit ribosomal RNA
Source: RNAcentral
UUGAACGCUGGCGGUAUGCUUUACACAUGCAAGUCGAACGGCAGCACGGGGCAACCUGGUGGCGCGUGGCGAACGGGUGAGUAACAUAUCGGAUCAUGUCCGGAAGUGGGGGAUAACGCACCGAAAGGUGCGCUAAUACCGCAUAUGCCCCGAGGGGGAAAGGGGGGGAUCGCAAGACCUCUCGCUUUCGGAGUGGCCGAUAUCGGAUUAGCUAGAUGGUGGGGUAAAGGCCCACCAUGGCGACGAUCCGUAGCUGGUCUGGGAGGACGACCAGACACACUGGAACUGAGACACGGUCCAGACUCCUACGGGAGGCAGCAGUGGGGAAUUUUGGACAAUGGGCGCAAGCCUGAUCCAGCCAUACCGCGUGAGUGAAGAAGGCCUUCGGGUUGUAAAGCUCUUUCAGCCGGAAAGAAAUCGUGCAGAUUAAUACUCUGUAUGGAUGACGGUACCGGAAGAAGAAGCACCGGCUAACUACGU